CAUCAUUUCAUGACAAAUAAAUGGGGAAACAAACAGUGACAGAUUUUACUUUCUUGGGCUCCAAUCACUGCAAGUGGUAACUGCAGCCAGGAAACUGAAAAUGUUUGUUCCUUGGAAGGAAAACUAUGACAAACCUAGACAGCAUGUUAAAAAGCAGAGAUGAUAUUUUGCCGACAAAGAUCCCUGUAGUCAAAGCUAUGGUUUUUGCAGGAGU
Cervus elaphus (red deer) is the source of this 214-nucleotide long non-coding RNA. RefSeq lists it as uncharacterized. The record is from RefSeq and is a predicted model, not a curated record. NCBI's taxonomy places the organism in Eukaryota, Metazoa, Chordata, Mammalia, Artiodactyla, Cervidae. The transcript is spliced from 3 exons.